Frankliniella occidentalis (western flower thrips) is the source of this 2016-nucleotide RNA transcript. It is a transcript of the gene named tropomyosin-1, with no coding region annotated. The transcript has 9 exons. The record is from RefSeq and is a predicted model, not a curated record. NCBI's taxonomy places the organism in Eukaryota, Metazoa, Arthropoda, Insecta, Thysanoptera, Thripidae.
CAGCCCUCCCCGCCCCUCCCCGGCUCCUCCCCGGCCCCUCGGGGGCCCGGCGAGCCGCGCCCCCUGCGAGGCGAGGAGCCCGGGGCCGAGGAGCGCCAAGCCCGUCCCCGCUGAGUCGAGAGCUUGCACCCGCGUCGGCUCCGUCAAGAAUCCGCAGGUGACGGAUCUUUUCGCCAGUAGAGCCCCCCGCCCCCCGAAACACAGCCACAAUGGACGCGAUCAAGAAGAAGAUGCAGGCGAUGAAGAUGGAGAAGGAUGCGGCCAUGGACAAGGCCGACACCUGCGAGGGGCAGGCCAAGGACGCCAACUCCCGCGCGGACAAGGUCCUUGAGGACGUCCGCGACCUCACGAAGAAGCUGUCCCAGGUUGAGCAGGAUCUCUCCACCACCAAGAACAUGCUCGAACAGGCCAACAAGGACCUCGAGGAGAAGGAGAAGAACCUCACCAACGUGAGCACCCAUCCGCCCCCGUCAUGUAACUACCCCCAACCCUUCCCCUCCCCUCAUCGAUUGAUUCUCUUCUCCGCCCAGGCCGAGAGCGAGGUCGCCGCCCUCAACAGGAAGGUCCAGAUGAUUGAGGAGGACCUCGAGCGCUCUGAGGAGAGGUCCGGCACCGCCACCACCAAGCUCGCCGAGGCUUCCCAGGCCGCCGACGAGGCCAACCGUAUGUGCAAGGUGUUGGAGAACCGCAGCCAGCAGGACGAGGAGCGCAUGGACCAGCUCACCAACCAGCUCAAGGAGGCUAGGCUGCUCGCUGAGGACGCCGACGGCAAGUCCGACGAGGUCUCCCGCAAGCUGGCCUUCGUUGAAGACGAGCUGGAAGUCGCUGAGGACCGUGUCAAGUCUGGUGACGCCAAGAUCAUGGAGCUCGAGGAGGAGUUGAAGGUCGUCGGUAACAGCUUGAAGUCCCUGGAGGUUUCCGAGGAGAAGGCCAACCAGCGAGUGGAGGAGUACAAGCGCCAGAUCAAGACCCUCACCGUCAGGCUGAAGGAGGCUGAGGCCCGCGCCGAGUUCGCUGAGAAGACCGUCAAGAAGCUCCAGAAGGAGGUCGACAGGCUCGAGGACGACCUCUUCAACGAGAAGGAAAAGACGAAAGCUAUUUGCGAUGAUUUGGAUUCCACAUUCGCUGAACUCACUGGCUACUAAACAUUUUCAGAUACAACACAAAUCUCCUUCCUUGUCUCUUUCUCUUCUUUCUAUUCAACUUCUCCAUACGCUUUUCAAGUUUAUCUUUCGUCUGUCUCCUCCCCAUUAUAAAGAGAUCGCAUUUUUCUUUUACUUCUAAAAAACUAAAAUUAAGACCAUUUAAAGGUGAAAAGAUAUUUUUCAAUGUAGGGCUGCCACCGUAAACAAUUGAUUUGGUGCGAUCGUUUUAAAAUGUUCGACGCGUAAAAUCCUUUUCAUAGUAUCCAGUCAUGCAACUUCUUUAAGUCACCAUGUAAAUAAUGCUGUAGAAUAUUCUAAGCUUACUGUUAGCACCAACGAGAACCCGUGCUUUAAACCGUUGUCAUAACGGUCUUAAAGCAGGAAAAUUCUCAUGUUCGUUUGUUAGUUUUCAAGCGUUUUCAUCAAGUAAUAGCAUACAAAUAGGCCUCUUUUUCAUUUUGUGGCGUUUUUGGUGUUUUUGUGUUUCUUUUUUUAACGAAAGGACAAUACUCGUGUACGCUUUUUCCGUCUGUGAUAUUCUAUUCAUUUUGUCUUAAUCACGCACCGCAAAAAUUGUUUUAUUUUUUAAAAAAUCCACACUGUGACACGCUACUCGCAGCAGGUGAUCGCGCGGACAGCUCCAGCCAGACGAGCUUGGCAUCAACAAGGACCGCUACAAGUCCCUGGCCGACGAGAUGGACUCCACCUUCGCCGAGUUGGCCGGUUACUAAACGGACGUCCGCGCGAGCCGGCGCGGCUCACCAGCGCCCAGGCCGGCUGAAGACCAAAUCACCAUCACCACCAUCAUCACCACCAGGCAUCACCAUCGCACUGACAUUACAAAUAAAAACUGCUGCUGUCACUCUCUCUA